AGAGAGAGACAUGCGCGCAUAUCAAUAAGCGGAGGAAAAGAAACUAACAAGGAUUCCCCUAGUAACGGCGAGUGAAGCGGGAAGAGCCUCAAAGUUUGAAAUCUUAAAGGGUUUCCCUUUACGAAUUGUAGUUUAAAGAAGUGUUUUCUGUUGAGGUUUUGGUAAAAGUUCUUUGGAAUAGGACAUCAUAGAGGGUGAGAAUCCCGUAUUUGACCUUUACUUUCAACUUUGUGAUACACUUUCAAAGAGUCGGAUUGUUUGGGAAUGCAGUCCAAAAUGGGUGGUAAAUUUCAUCUAAAGCUAAAUAUUGGCGAGAGACCGAUAGCGAACAAGUACCGUGAGGGAAAGAUGAAAAGAACUUUGAAAAGAGAGUUAAACAGUACGUGAAAUUGUCAAAAGGGAAGCGUUUGACACCAGUGUUGUUUUUCUGAAAAUCAAUUAAAGAACUGUUUAUGCUAAGUUGUUUAGACUUUAUCAGCUAACUGUUUAGUUUUGAGCUUUUCUUUAAUGCACUUUUCAGUUAACAAGUCAACAUCAAUUUCUUUUGCUGUAAAAAAGCUUGAGGAAGGUGGCUUGAGAUUCGUCUUAAGUGUUUAUAGCCUCUUGCCUAUGCAGUCGGAGAGAUUGAGGUCUGCAGCGUAGAUCCUUCGGGGCUAAAUGCAUUUGUGCUAAGUUAUAGCAUUUUAUAGACAACUUGUUGACUAUGAUUUGUCUUGUAGCUUACUCGCUUAUGUUAUUUUACCUACGCUUAGGAUGUUGAGCGCAUGUCUCUCUCU
RNAcentral lists this ribosomal RNA (776 nucleotides) under uncultured Neocallimastigales. RNAcentral's name for it is "partial large subunit ribosomal RNA". It matches the Rfam family "Eukaryotic large subunit ribosomal RNA", at positions 23 to 616 of the family's 3401-position model. Lineage: Eukaryota; Fungi; Neocallimastigomycota; Neocallimastigomycetes; Neocallimastigales. The record is from RNAcentral.